CCUACGGGAGGCAGCAGUAGGGAAUUUUCCACAAUGGGCGAAAGCCUGAUGGAGCAACGCCGCGUGGGUGAAGAAGGUCUUCGGAUCGUAAAACCCUGUUGUUAGAGAAGAAAGUGCGGGAGAGUAACGGUUAACGUUUCGACGGUAACUAACCAGAAAGCCACGGCUAACUACGUGCCAGCAGCCGCGGUAAUACGUAGGUGGCAAGCGUUAUCCGGAUUUAAUGGGCGUAAAGGGAAAGGAGGCGGUCUUUUAAGUCUGAUGUGAAAUCCAUCGGCUUAACCGGGGUAGUGCGUUGGAAACUGGGAGACUUGAGUGCAGAAGAGGAGGGUGGAACUCCAUGUGUAGCGGUGAAAUGCGUAGAUAUAUGGAAGAACACCAGUGGCGAAAGCGGCUCUCUGGUCUGUAACUGACGCUGAGGUUCGAAAGCGUGGGUAGCAAACAGGAUUAGAUACCCUUGUAGUC
Molecule: ribosomal RNA, 465 nt
Filed under: uncultured bacterium
Lineage: Bacteria
Description: partial 16S ribosomal RNA
Rfam family: Bacterial small subunit ribosomal RNA
Source: RNAcentral